AUAAUGGGUCAGCGACUUAUAUUCUGUAGCAAGGUUAACCGAAUAGGGGAGCCGAAGGGAAACCGAGUCUUAACUGGGCGUUAAGUUGCAGGGUAUAGACCCGAAACCCGGUGAUCUAGCCAUGGGCAGGUUGAAGGUUGGGUAACACUAACUGGAGGACCGAACCGACUAAUGUUGAAAAAUUAGCGGAUGACUUGUGGCUGGGGGUGAAAGGCCAAUCAAACCGGGAGAUAGCUGGUUCUCCCCGAAAGCUAUUUAGGUAGCGCCUCGUGAAUUCAUCUCCGGGGGUAGAGCACUGUUUCGGCAAGGGGGUCAUCCCGACUUACCAACCCGAUGCAAACUGCGAAUACCGGAGAAUGUUAUCACGGGAGACACACGGCGGGUGCUAACGUCCGUCGUGAAGAGGGAAACAACCCAGACCGCCAGCUAAGGUCCCAAAGUCAUGGUUAAGUGGGAAACGAUGUGGGAAGGCCCAGACAGCCAGGAUGUUGGCUUAGAAGCAGCCAUCAUUUAAAGAAAGCGUAAUAGCUCACUGGUCGAGUCGGCCUGCGCGGAAGAUGUAACGGGGCUAAACCAUGCACCGAAGCUGCGGCAGCGACGCUGAUGCGUUGUUGGGUAGGGGAGCGUUCUGUAAGCCUGUGAAGGUGUGCUGUGAGGCAUGCUGGAGGUAUCAGAAGUGCGAAUGCUGACAUAAGUAACGAUAAAGCGGGUGAAAAGCCCGCUCGCCGGAAGACCAAGGGUUCCUGUCCAACGUUAAUCGGGGCAGGGUGAGUCGACCCCUAAGGCGAGGCCGAAAGGCGUAGUCGAUGGGAAACAGGUUAAUAUUCCUGUACUUGGUGUUACUGCGAAGGGGGGACGGAGAAGGCUAUGUUGGCCGGGCGACGGUUGUCCCGGUUUAAGCGUGUAGGCUGGUUUUCCAGGCAAAUCCGGAAAAUCAAGGCUGAGGCGUGAUGACGAGGCACUACGGUGCUGAAGCAACAAAUGCCCUGCUUCCAGGAAAAGCCUCUAAGCAUCAGGUAACAUCAAAUCGUACCCCAAACCGACACAGGUGGUCAGGUAGAGAAUACCAAGGCGCUUGAGAGAACUCGGGUGAAGGAACUAGGCAAAAUGGUGCCGUAACUUCGGGAGAAGGCACGCUGAUAUGUAGGUGAAGUCCCUCGCGGAUGGAGCUGAAAUCAGUCGAAGAUACCAGCUGGCUGCAACUGUUUAUUAAAAACACAGCACUGUGCAAACACGAAAGUGGACGUAUACGGUGUGACGCCUGCCCGGUGCCGGAAGGUUAAUUGAUGGGGUCAGCGCAAGCGAAGCUCUUGAUCGAAGCCCCGGUAAACGGCGGCCGUAACUAUAACGGUCCUAAGGUAGCGAAAUUCCUUGUCGGGUAAGUUCCGACCUGCACGAAUGGCGUAAUGAUGGCCAGGCUGUCUCCACCCGAGACUCAGUGAAAUUGAACUCGCUGUGAAGAUGCAGUGUACCCGCGGCAAGACGGAAAGACCCCGUGAACCUUUACUAUAGCUUGACACUGAACAUUGAGCCUUGAUGUGUAGGAUAGGUGGGAGGCUUUGAAGUGUGGACGCCAGUCUGCAUGGAGCCGGCCUUGAAAUACCACCCUUUAAUGUUUGAUGUUCUAACGUUGACCCGUGAUCCGGGUUGCGGACAGUGUCUGGUGGGUAGUUUGACUGGGGCGGUCUCCUCCUAAAGAGUAACGGAGGAGCACGAAGGUUGGCUAAUCCUGGUCGGACAUCAGGAGGUUAGUGCAAUGGCAUAAGCCAGCUUGACUGCGAGCGUGACGGCGCGAGCAGGUGCGAAAGCAGGUCAUAGUGAUCCGGUGGUUCUGAAUGGAAGGGCCAUCGCUCAACGGAUAAAAGGUACUCCGGGGAUAACAGGCUGAUACCGCCCAAGAGUUCAUAUCGACGGCGGUGUUUGGCACCUCGAUGUCGGCUCAUCACAUCCUGGGGCUGAAGUAGGUCCCAAGGGUAUGGCUGUUCGCCAUUUAAAGUGGUACGCGAGCUGGGUUUAGAACGUCGUGAGACAGUUCGGUCCCUAUCUGCCGUGGGCGCUGGAGAACUGAGGGGGGCUGCUCCUAGUACGAGAGGACCGGAGUGGACGCAUCACUGGUGUUCGGGUUGUCAUGCCAAUGGCACUGCCCGGUAGCUAAAUGCGGAAGAGAUAAGUGCUGAAAGCAUCUAAGCACGAAACUUGCCCCGAGAUGAGUUCUCCCUGACUCCUUG
This 2228-nucleotide ribosomal RNA is filed under the name Escherichia coli. Its description in RNAcentral is "partial 23S ribosomal RNA". It matches the Rfam family "Bacterial large subunit ribosomal RNA", at positions 612 to 2825 of the family's 2925-position model. Lineage: Bacteria; Pseudomonadati; Pseudomonadota; Gammaproteobacteria; Enterobacterales; Enterobacteriaceae. The record is from RNAcentral.